This 492-nucleotide ribosomal RNA is filed under the name uncultured bacterium. Its description in RNAcentral is "partial 16S ribosomal RNA". It matches the Rfam family "Bacterial small subunit ribosomal RNA", at positions 29 to 507 of the family's 1533-position model. The record is from RNAcentral.
AGUGAACGCUGGCGGUAGGCCUAACACAUGCAAGUCGAACGGCAGCACAGUAAGAGCUUGCUCUUACGGGUGGCGAGUGGCGGACGGGAGAGGAAUACAUCGGAAUCUACUUUUUCGUGGGGGAUAACGUAGGGGAACUUACGCUAAUACCGCAUACGACCUACGGGGGAAAGCAGUGGAUCUUCGGACCUUGCGCGAUUGAAUGAGCCGAUGUCGGAUUAGCUAGUUGGCGGGGUAAAGGCCCACCAAGGCGACGAUCCGUAGCUGGUCUGAGAGGAUGGUCAGCCACCCUGGAACUGAGACACGGUCCAGACUCCUACGGGACGCAGCAGUGGCGAAUGUUAGACAAUGGGCGGAAGUCUGAUCCAGCCAUACGGCGUCGGAGAAGAAGGCGUUCGGGUCGUAAAGCCCUUUUGUGGGGAAAAAAAAGCAGCAGGUUUAGACGCAGCUGGUCUGACGGUACCCAAAGAAUAAGCACCGGCUAACUUCGUG